RNAcentral lists this ribosomal RNA (1473 nucleotides) under human gut metagenome. RNAcentral describes it as "bacterial LSU rRNA". It matches the Rfam family "Bacterial large subunit ribosomal RNA", at positions 497 to 1991 of the family's 2925-position model. The record is from RNAcentral.
AGUACUGUGAAGGAAAGGUGAAAAGGACCCCGGGAGGGGAGUGAAAGAGAACCUGAAACCUUGUGCUUACAAACAGUCAAAGGCCUACGGGCUGAUGGCGUACUUUUUGUAGAACGGUCCGGCGAGUUACUAAUGCCAGCGAGGUUAAGUGGUCAGAAGCCACGGAGCCGAAGGGAAACCAAGUCUGAAUAGGGCGUAGAGUUGGUAUUAGUAGACCCGAAACCGGGUGACCUAUCCAUGUCCAGGUUGAAGGAACCGUAAAAGGUUUUGGAGGACCGAACACACAUGUGUUGAAAAACGUGGUGAUGAGGUGUGGAUAGCGGAGAAAUUCCAAUCGAACUCGGAGAUAGCUGGUUCUCCUCGAAAUAGCUUUAGGGCUAGCCUCGAGCUGGAGUCUAACGGAGGUAAAGCACUGAACUGACGCGGGGCCCAAAAAGGUUACCAACUCAUAUCAAACUAAGAAUGCCGUCAAGAUACCCUCGGGAGUCAGUCUGCGUGAGAUAAGUCGCGUGGACAAAAGGGAAAGAGCCCAGACCGACAGCUAAGGUCCCAAAGUACGUGUUAAGUGGAAAAGGAUGUGGGAUUUCAUAGACAACUAGGAUGUUGGCUUAGAAGCAGCCAUACAUUUAAAGAGUGCGUAAUAGCUCACUAGUCGAGAAAACCUGCGCCGAAAAUGUAACGGGGCUAAAACACGACACCGAAGCUACGGAUUCCUUACUAAGUAAGGAGUGGUAGAGGAGCAUCCUGCAAGGACGAAGCCAAAGUGAGAGCGAUGGUGGACGAAACAGGAGAGAGAAUGCCGGAAUGAGUAGCGAGAUACAUGUGAGAAACAUGUAGGCCGAAUAUCUAAGGAUUCCUGGGUAAAGCUAAUCUUCCCAGGGUUAGUCGGGGCCUAAGGCGAGGACGAGAGUCGUAGUCGAUGGAUAACAGGUUGAUAUUCCUGUACUACACAUAAUCAGAACUGUGGGGACGCAGGAGGAUAGGGAAACCGGGGAAUGGAAAGACCCGGUCAAGCGCAAAGCUGUGGGAGAUAGGCAAAUCCGUCUCCUGUAAGUGAAACGUGAUGAGGACUGAAAAAAAGUAAGGAAGUUUCCGAAUCCACACUGCCGAGAAAAGCCGCUAUUGCGUUAUGUGUACCCGUACCGUAAACCGACACAGGUAGAUGAGGAGAAAAUCCACAGGCCGACGGGAGAAGUGUUGUUAAGGAACUCGGCAAAAUGACCCCGUAACUUCGGGAUAAGGGGAGCCUCGCAAGAGGCCGCAGAAAAGAGGCACAAGCAACUGUUUAGCAAAAACAUAGGUCUAUGCGAAACCGUAAGGUGAAGUAUAUGGGCUGACGCCUGCCCGGUGCUGGAAGGUUAAAAGGAGAGGUCAGCGCAAGCGAAGCUUUGAAUUCAAGCCCCAGUAAACGGCGGCCGUAACUAUAACGGUCCUAAGGUAGCGAAAUUCCUUGUCAGGUAAGUUCUGACCCGC